GGCCAUAUCACACUGAAACACCGGUUCUCAUACGAUCACCAAAGUUAAGCAAUAUUGAGCCUGGUUAGUAUCUAGAUGGUUGACUGCUUGGGAAUUCCAGGUACUGUG
Acanthosepion pharaonis is the source of this 108-nucleotide non-coding RNA. Lineage: Eukaryota; Metazoa; Mollusca; Cephalopoda; Sepiida; Sepiidae. The record is from the annotation of a GenBank genome assembly.